CCCGAUAUCGGAUUAGCUAGAUGGUGAGUAAAGGCUCCACCAUGGNGACGAUCCGUAGCGGGUUUUGAGAGGACGUCCGCCACACUGGAAUUGAGACACGGUCCAGACUCCUACGGGAGGCAGCAGUGGGGAAUUUUGGACAAUGGGCGCAAGCCUGAUCCAGCCAUACCGCGUGAGUGAAGAAGGCCUUCGGGUUGUAAAGCUUUUUCAGCCGGAAAGAAAUCGCACUUUUUAAUACGGAGUGUGGAUGACGGUACCGGAAGAAGAAGCACCGGCUAANUACGUGCCAGCAGCCGCGGUAAUACGUAGGGUGCGAGCGUUAAUCGGAAUUACUGGGCGUAAAGCGUGCGCAGGCGGUUCAAUAAGUCAGAUGUGAAAGCCCUGGGCUUAACCCAGGAAGUGCAUUUGAUACUGUUGAACUUGAGUGUGGGAGAGGCUAGUAGAAUUCCAGGUGUAGUGGUGAAAUACGU
Molecule: ribosomal RNA, 470 nt
Filed under: uncultured beta proteobacterium
Lineage: Bacteria; Pseudomonadati; Pseudomonadota; Betaproteobacteria
Description: bacterial SSU rRNA
Rfam family: Bacterial small subunit ribosomal RNA
Source: RNAcentral